This 118-nucleotide ribosomal RNA is filed under the name Dehalococcoidales bacterium. Lineage: Bacteria; Bacillati; Chloroflexota; Dehalococcoidia; Dehalococcoidales. The record is from RNAcentral.
CUUGGUGGUUAGAGCGAGGCGGAACCACCCGUUCCCAUCCCGAACACGGUAGUGAAAUACCUCAGCGCGGACGAUACUGAGGGGGCAGCCCCUUGUGGAAAAUACGCCACUGCCAAGA